This 253-nucleotide ribosomal RNA is filed under the name uncultured bacterium. RNAcentral describes it as "partial 16S ribosomal RNA". It matches the Rfam family "Bacterial small subunit ribosomal RNA", at positions 524 to 776 of the family's 1533-position model. The record is from RNAcentral.
UACGUAGGGGGCGAGCGUUGUCCGGAAUUAUUGGGCGUAAAGCGCGUGCAGGCGGUUUUUUAAGUCUUUGGUGAAAGACCGGGGCUCAACCCCGGAGUGUCCAUGGAGACUGGAAGACUGGAGUGUCGGAGAGGAGUGCGGAAUCCCUGGUGUAGCGGUGGAAUGCGUAGAGAUCAGGGGGAACACCGAUGGCGAAGGCAGCACUCUGGCCGAAUACUGACGCUGAGACGCGAAAGCGUGGGGAGCGAACGGG